GGAACUUGUACUCGUUGCGGUGCAACGUUAGUUAAAGA
This is a regulatory RNA element of Clostridium cadaveris, 38 nucleotides long. It matches the Rfam family "Selenocysteine insertion sequence 4". The record is from Rfam. Lineage: Bacteria; Bacillati; Bacillota; Clostridia; Eubacteriales; Clostridiaceae.